AUGACAUUCAUUUUGGUAUUCAAUCAGAAAAACAAAAUUUAUGGACAAGUCCAACCACGUAAAUGGUAAUUGUGGAAUGUUUAGCUUUGGGAAGGGACAUGAAUCAUCACAUAAGAAUUUUCCGCACACGUUUCUUUGACAUGGAAUGAAAGAGGUGUUGCGUACAGAUGUUUGCCUGAUUUCAGCACAGGAUGGAGAUCAAGGUCAUGGAACUUGGAGCAGGCCGAGAUGAUUGGUGGUCCAUUUAACAAGAUUAAAGUCUCAUCUUGAUUGUACACAGAUAACGGGAAAGAAGGGUUGAAGAGCUUUAUUCACAAAUCCAAGGCUCCACAAAUCGAAAGCCCGCAUAAAGGGUGAUGCCAAUCCUUUGCCACCCGUGAUGUUUUCAGAGUAAAACUCUGCCCAUAUCUUGAUCGAUGGGUACAACAAGUCAACCAGCCAUGUAAGAUUUAAGUCUUCGUACUAGCACUGUGUUCUUCUUCUACUUCAUGGUUAUUAAUUGUAUUUCUUUCCUUUUGAUCACUAAUGUCCAGCGAGCCUCCCUAACAGAAGUUCCCAUAAGGAAACAGAGUGAAAGCGCCCUGGAGAAUUAAAUGAUUGUCGGGUUUAAGUCCAGAAAAAUUAAAGCUCCCGUCUCACCCUUCCUUCAGGGGACCAAACAAUGCUAAAGAUAAGACCCAGGGUGGAACUAGCAAGCAGUAUCAUUCAGUAUAUGAGAAUGGUAAGUCCUGGAAGGUUGCGUAAGGCUAUUUCAAUCAGAAGCUAGACAUCGAGAGAAAGAGAAGAAAGAAGUUUCCUUCUCUAAUCUACUUGGACAAGAUCGUGCGUCCUUAUUCUAAUCAAAACCAGGCCUACCUGGAAAAUCAAGCAAAAAGGACCCCGAAACUGAGCAGACACCAUGGCACUAAAAAGAUCAAGUGAUACCCCGGAACUGAAUUAAGAAAACGUGAUCAAAGUUCCCAAACCUGUCGAACUUGAUGCCAGGCAUCAAGAGAAAGUUAAAGCUGAAACUGCAACAAAAACAUAAUCAGCAGCUUAGUUCGAUAUCCCUAUUCCCUUCUGUGGGAGCGUAUGCAAAUAAAACCAAAUUCAAUUAAUUCCCUUCCUGUCUCCUUCUCCAUCAGGACCACGUCCUCAAGCAAGUUGGUGCCUUGU
This 1155-nucleotide long non-coding RNA is filed under the name Coffea arabica (coffee). RNAcentral describes it as "long non-coding RNA (CARA_LNC006706)". Lineage: Eukaryota; Viridiplantae; Streptophyta; Magnoliopsida; Gentianales; Rubiaceae. The record is from RNAcentral.